RNAcentral lists this ribosomal RNA (402 nucleotides) under uncultured bacterium. RNAcentral describes it as "bacterial SSU rRNA". It matches the Rfam family "Bacterial small subunit ribosomal RNA", at positions 355 to 774 of the family's 1533-position model. The record is from RNAcentral.
UGGGGAAUAUUGGACAAUGGGCGCAAGCCUGAUCCAGCCAUGCCGCGUGAGUGAUGAAGGCCUUAGGGUUGUAAAGCUCUUUCGCCAGGGACGAUAAUGACGGUACCUGGAUAAGAAGCCCCGGCUAACUUCGUGCCAGCAGCCGCGGUAAUACGAAGGGGGCUAGCGUUGUUCGGAAUCACUGGGCGUAAAGCGCAUGCAGGCGGACUGAUAAGUCAGGGGUGAAAGCCCGAGGCUCAACCUCGGAACUGCCUUUGAUACUGUCAGUCUUGAGUCCGGGAGAGGUGAGUGGAACUGCGAGUGUAGAGGUGAAAUUCGUAGACAUUCGCAAGAACACCAGUGGCGAAGGCGGCUCACUGGCCCGGGACUGACGCUGAGAUGCGAAAGCGUGGGGAGCAAACA